RNAcentral lists this RNase P RNA (370 nucleotides) under Betaproteobacteria bacterium. RNAcentral describes it as "RNase P RNA component class A". It matches the Rfam family "Bacterial RNase P class A". Rfam says of the family: Ribonuclease P (RNase P) is a ubiquitous endoribonuclease, found in archaea, bacteria and eukarya as well as chloroplasts and mitochondria. Its best characterised activity is the generation of mature 5'-ends of tRNAs by cleaving the 5'-leader elements of precursor-tRNAs. The record is from RNAcentral. Lineage: Bacteria; Pseudomonadati; Pseudomonadota; Betaproteobacteria.
GAAGCCGGCCAGACGGUCGCUGCGCGCCUUCGGGUGCGGAGAGGAAAGUCCGGGCUCCGCAGAGCAGGGUGACGGCUAACGGCCGUACGUAAUAGUCGGGGGCUUGCCUUCGGCGAAGACGAGGAAUAGGGCCACAGAGACGAGUCGCCGCAGCUUCGCAAGAAGGUGCGGCGGGUGAAACGCGGUAACCUCCACCCGGAGCAACACCAAAUAGGCGGACGCUGCAUGCGCGGUACCGGCGUGCUGUGAGUGGCUCGCUCAAGUCCGCGGGUAGGUGGCUGGAGCCCUGGGGCAACCCCGGGCCUAGAGGAAUGACCGUCAUAGGGAGCAAUCCCCGUAACAGAACCCGGCUUAUCGGCCGGCUUCACUU